This 232-nucleotide long non-coding RNA is filed under the name Panax ginseng (ginseng). RNAcentral describes it as "long non-coding RNA (PGIN_LNC004317)". The record is from RNAcentral. Lineage: Eukaryota; Viridiplantae; Streptophyta; Magnoliopsida; Apiales; Araliaceae.
AAUGAUCUAUGCUACAACUGUAAGAAGCCUGGCCAUUUCAUUGCCAACUUCAACAAACCUCUCAGAGAAGAACUAAAGAAGAAAUCACAUGCAAAGAAGGAAUACAAAGGUAACAAAAGGCCUCAAAAGAAAGAAAAAGGCCUUAUAGCUGGAGGAUCGUGGAGUGAUUCAGACAAUGACUCCAAUCCUGAAUCUGGAGAUGAUGAAGAACCACAAAUGGCUAAUAUGUGCC